GAGUUUGAUCAUGGCUCAGGAUGAACGCUAGCGGUAUGCUUAACACAUGCAAGUCGUACGGGAGUUUUUAACUCAAGUGGCGGACGGGUGAGUAACACGUGAGAAUUUACCUUUAGGAGGGGGAUAACAAUUGGAAACGAUUGCUAAUACCCAUAUGCUUUUUUAAGUGAAACGGAUUUAUUCGCCUAAAGAAAAGCUCGCGGCUGAUUAGCUAGUUGGUAAGGUAAUGGCUUACCAAGGCGACGAUCAGUAUCUGGUUUGAGAGGAUGAUCAGACACACUGGAACUGAGACACGGUCCAGACUCCUACGGGAGGCAGCAGUGGGGAAUUUUCCGCAAUGGGCGAAAGCCUGACGGAGCAAUACCGCGUGAGGGAAGACUGCCUAUGGGUUGUAAACCUCUUUUUUCAGGGAGGAAUAAAAUGACGUGUACCUGAAGAAUAAGCAUCGGCUAACUCCGUG
Molecule: ribosomal RNA, 460 nt
Filed under: uncultured bacterium
Lineage: Bacteria
Description: bacterial SSU rRNA
Rfam family: Bacterial small subunit ribosomal RNA
Source: RNAcentral